RNAcentral lists this transfer RNA (91 nucleotides) under Agrobacterium tumefaciens. RNAcentral describes it as "tRNA-Ser". It matches the Rfam family "tRNA". Rfam says of the family: Transfer RNA (tRNA) molecules are approximately 80 nucleotides in length. Their secondary structure includes four short double-helical elements and three loops (D, anti-codon, and T loops). Lineage: Bacteria; Pseudomonadati; Pseudomonadota; Alphaproteobacteria; Hyphomicrobiales; Rhizobiaceae. The record is from RNAcentral.
GGAGAGGUGGCCGAGUGGUCGAAGGCGCUCCCCUGCUAAGGGAGUAUAUGUCAAAAGCGUAUCGUGGGUUCGAAUCCCAUCCUCUCCGCCA